GGGCGCGUAGCUCAGUUUGGAUAGAGCAUCAAGCUUUGGCGUGUAAGCCUUCUAAGCUGAGGGCCGCGGGUUCGAAUCCCGUCGCGCCCA
RNAcentral lists this transfer RNA (90 nucleotides) under Candidatus Aenigmatarchaeota archaeon. RNAcentral's name for it is "tRNA-Arg". It matches the Rfam family "tRNA". From Rfam's summary of the family: Transfer RNA (tRNA) molecules are approximately 80 nucleotides in length. Their secondary structure includes four short double-helical elements and three loops (D, anti-codon, and T loops). Lineage: Archaea; Nanobdellati; Candidatus Aenigmatarchaeota. The record is from RNAcentral.